UACGGAGGGAGCUAGCGUUGUUCGGAAUUACUGGGCGUAAAGCGCGCGUAGGCGGCUUUGUAAGUUAGAGGUGAAAGCCCGGGGCUCAACUCCGGAACUGCCUUUAAGACUGCAUCGCUUGAAUCCAGGAGAGGUGAGUGGAAUUCCGAGUGUAGAGGUGAAAUUCGUAGAUAUUCGGAAGAACACCAGUGGCGAAGGCGGCUCACUGGACUGGUAUUGACGCUGAGGUGCGAAAGCGUGGGGAGCAAACAGG
This 253-nucleotide ribosomal RNA is filed under the name uncultured bacterium. Its description in RNAcentral is "partial 16S ribosomal RNA". It matches the Rfam family "Bacterial small subunit ribosomal RNA", at positions 524 to 776 of the family's 1533-position model. The record is from RNAcentral.